Molecule: ribosomal RNA, 253 nt
Filed under: uncultured bacterium
Lineage: Bacteria
Description: partial 16S ribosomal RNA
Rfam family: Bacterial small subunit ribosomal RNA
Source: RNAcentral
UACGUAGGGUGCAAGCGUUGUCCGGAAUUAUUGGGCGUAAAGGGCUCGUAGGUGGUUCGUCACGUCGGGAGUGAAAUCCUGGGGCUUAACCCCAGAACUGCUUCCGAUACGGGCAGACUAGAGGGAGGUAGGGGAGAAUGGAAUUCCUGGUGUAGCGGUGGAAUGCGCAGAUAUCAGGAGGAACACCAGUGGCGAAGGCGGUUCUCUGGGCCGUACCUGACGCUGAGGAGCGAAAGCGUGGGGAGCAAACAGG